GAGUUUGAUCCUGGCUCAGGACGAACGCUGGCGGCGUGCCUAAUACAUGCAAGUCGAGCGAGCGGAACCAACAGAUUUACUUCGGUAAUGACGUUGGGAAAGCGAGCGGCGGAUGGGUGAGUAACACGUGGGGAACCUGCCCCUAAGUCUGGGAUACCAUUUGGAAACAGGUGCUAAUACCGGAUAAUAAAGCAGAUCGCAUGAUCAGCUUUUGAAAGGCGGCGUAAGCUGUCGCUAAGGGAUGGCCCCGCGGUGCAUUAGCUAGUUGGUAAGGUAACGGCUUACCAAGGCGACGAUGCAUAGCCGAGUUGAGAGACUGAUCGGCCACAUUGGGACUGAGACACGGCCCAAACUCCUACGGGAGGCAGCAGUAGGGAAUCUUCCACAAUGGACGCAAGUCUGAUGGAGCAACGCCGCGUGAGUGAAGAAGGUUUUCGGAUCGUAAAGCUCUGUUGUUGGUGAAGAAGGAUAGAGGUAGUAACUGGCCUUUAUUUGACGGUAAUCAACCAGAAAGUCACGACUAACUACGUGCCAGCAGCCGCGGUAAUACGUAGGUGGCAAGCGUUGUCCGGAUUUAUUGGGCGUGAAGCGAGCGCAGGCGGAAAAAUAAGUCUAAUGUGAAAGCCCUCGGCUUAACCGAGGAACUGCAUCGGUAACUGUUUUUCUUGAGUGCAGAAGAGGAGAGUGGAACUCCAUGUGUAGCGGUGAAAUGCGUAGA
This 718-nucleotide ribosomal RNA is filed under the name uncultured bacterium. RNAcentral describes it as "bacterial SSU rRNA". It matches the Rfam family "Bacterial small subunit ribosomal RNA", at positions 9 to 694 of the family's 1533-position model. The record is from RNAcentral.